GCCGGUGUGUCGGAAUUGGCAGACGAGGCAGACUCAAAAUCUGUUGAUCGCAAGGUCGUGCGGGUUCAAGUCCCGCCACCGGCA
This 84-nucleotide transfer RNA is filed under the name Roseburia sp. CAG:182. It matches the Rfam family "tRNA". Rfam says of the family: Transfer RNA (tRNA) molecules are approximately 80 nucleotides in length. The record is from Rfam by way of RNAcentral. RNAcentral also lists the same sequence under 3 other names. Lineage: Bacteria; Bacillati; Bacillota; Clostridia; Lachnospirales; Lachnospiraceae.